This 408-nucleotide ribosomal RNA is filed under the name uncultured bacterium. RNAcentral describes it as "partial 16S ribosomal RNA". It matches the Rfam family "Bacterial small subunit ribosomal RNA", at positions 30 to 526 of the family's 1533-position model. The record is from RNAcentral.
GCCGAACGCUGGCGGCGUGCUUAACACAUGCAAGUCGAACGGAGUGGCGAACGGGUGAGUAACACGUGGGUGACCUGCCCUGCCCUUCGGGAUAAGCCUGGGAAACUGGGUCUAAUACCGGUUAGUGUGGGAUGGUCCCGCGGCCUAUCAGCUUGUUGGUGGGGUCAUGGCCUACGAAGGCGGCGACGGGUAGCCGGCCUGAGAGGGUGGACGGCCCAAUGGGGACUGAGACACGGCCCAGACGCGUACGGGAUGCAGCAGGGGGGAAUAUUGCACAAUGGGCGGAAGCCUGAUUCAGCGACGCUGCGUGGGUGAGGACGGCCUUCGGGUUGUAAACUCCUUUCACCAUCGACGCGGUAGAUGGAGAAGAAGCACCGGCUAACUACGUGCCAGCCGCCGCGGUAAGUC